Long non-coding RNA from Anarrhichthys ocellatus (wolf-eel), 4010 nucleotides. RefSeq lists it as uncharacterized. The record is from RefSeq and is a predicted model, not a curated record. The transcript is spliced from 2 exons. Lineage: Eukaryota; Metazoa; Chordata; Actinopteri; Perciformes; Anarhichadidae.
UGUAUAUGUAUAUGUGUAUGUAUAUGUAUAUAUGUGUUUGUGUAUUUAUUGUUUGAAACCCAAUUUGUUAAUUUGAGUAGCAAGCAAACAUCACUGUCAUCUGAAAAAAAACAUACUUUUACCAACAGUGCCGUGUGUUAAGCUGCUCAACAAUGCAUGUUGGAAGUAUUCCAUUGGGGUUUUAAAGGUCCUGCACACCCACACUGCUGUUUUAAGUGUUGCUGGCUCAUUACACGUUAGCUCAGGUGAAGGCUCACCCAUCACUGCCUGCCAUCAUGAAUCCAGAUGAAGUCAUAUUUCCUCACCACACGUAGCUUUUACUGGCGCGGGGUUGUUUCCCACUUCACUUUUUCAUUUCCAAACCCGAUCCGUUUUGUGUCACUGUAUGUGAGGGGACGUUAGCUAGCUAGCAAUGGCAAAACACGUGAUGAUGUGUCGUGAUUGGUGUGGUGAUAUUCAAACGCAGCUGGUCAUUGAAAUGAUGCAUUUUAAUUUGACGUUUUAUAUUGAUAUGAAUUCUUGAGCAUGUUUAUAUAUAAAAGUAACUAGCUUUGUAUGCGACCCCCUCAACCCGCAGAAAUCAUGUUUUCAUUUUAAUCCAACCAUUUGGCCCCGCCAGUGGGCCCCGGACCAGUGGUUGAAAAUAGCUUCAGGGCCAAUUCCAGUGUUGUGCAGUGUUACUUUUAGUUUACCUGUAUUAUGCAGAGGUGUGGUUUAGAGUCACAUGACUUGGACUCGAGUCGGACUUGAGUCACAAAGUUGAUGAUUUUGGACUCAACUUUUGGACAAAAGGUUUGCAACUCCACUUUUUUGAGACAGCCCUUAUUUGUUAUUUAUUCGUUUGUUUGAGAAGAGGAUUUACUCGGGGGGGAACUGAACUGAACAAACAUCUAUCUUAACUAAUUUCUAUCUUUUGUUGUUUGUAAUCCGCCACAAGACAAAUCUAUUAAUUUCCUUUAAUUUAGUGAGUCAAUCAAACGUUAUUCCCAGCAAGUCGACAUGUAAUUACUGAGUUCCGCCUUGUUUGAAAUAUUCCGACAGCAAGUCAAUUUCCAGCACUGUAUUUAUUUAUGAUCUAUUUCCAAUGCCCUCCCGCCACCAAACAGUUGGAAGUUUGGUUAUAUCAGGCAAUUAAUAUUAUCAAACGACAUAUUCAAUCAGCGACAGGCUUGAUAAUUGAGUUAAUUAAUGUUUAAGGUAUGAUGGAUUUAAUAGUUUACUCCUCUUGUAUAUAAUACACUUUAUUUAUAGAGCACUUAUCAAAACAAGGUACAAUGUGCCUCUUAUGGAGAGAAUUAAUUGAAUUACUGACUACCAGUAAUCGAGGCAUGAGGAGAUAAAAGCAUGUACAAGAGUAUCUACAUCUCUACAAGUUAAAAUCAUUUUUGCAAUAUUUCUCAGGUGCUUCAAACAUAACUGGACAAGCUCUGUGAAAUGUUGCUCAAAAAAUUCAUGGGACCCAUCACUCCUAGUUCCUGGCCCGCUUCCAUCACAAAAGCUCGAUGAUUCGAAACUUGCAUAAAGCCACAAGAGUUACAACCAAGACAGAAAGGUUGAACAAGAGACAGAAACAAAUGAGCAAGGCCAGAGAAAAGGGGAUUGUUGUGAUUAAAAGACAAUUAUCUGCGCAUCGACUUCCCAGUGUUGUUCAGUGUCAGGCUCGAGCUGAGCUGUUCUGUCCCAGAAGGCCUCGGGAGACAAUGGCUACUGUGUCAGGAGGAGGGAGGGGGUGCGUUAAAAAGUCUUGGGGUUUCAUGACACGGUCACAGCACCAUGCAACUGUUUGAAUACUCUAAAUGCUACGUAUAGGCUUAGUAAUGUGUUUUUAUUUAUGGUAAUCGCAGGAAUGAGUUAAAUGAGUUAAACCUGAGAUAAACCGCAGGUUUAUCGGUUACAAGCAUAUUCCCCAAUUUGAUGUAUGAUUGCUUUAAAACAACCUAACGAGAAUGUGGCGAAGUUGUAAAUAGAACUUUAAAAUAGGCUUUAGGGGGAAACUCACCAGUACAAAAAUCACAAUAUCAUAACUUAGAUAAAGUUAUGGUGAUCUACCGGUUGCAAAGUGGAACUAUUACUGUGGAAAACCCAAAUGGAUGUUUUUAAAAGCAGCUUCAGGGUGACCUUAGUUCACUGUGUGGUUCAAUCGAAGGACAUCAAGGAGGGGUCAGUCGUGGCUUCGAUCACAGAGGCAAGUGGAGAUGUUUGUACACACAACCUCCAGCUUUAUCGUGGAGCCCAGUAAUAUUAGCGCAAAUGGAUCUUCAAGACAAAACAUUUACUUUUAGUCUAUUUAAGUAGAUUUGUACUCAUCUGAAAUAAUAAUUGUGGUUUUCUCAAAGAACAAAGACAAUGAUUUCUUUCUAAAACAAGAAAUCACAUCUCCGAAUGAUAAUUACAGUUACAUAAGCACUAAUGCAGCGUUCAUGUCAUAUCAGAUUUAUGCUUUUCCAACUUGUAAAUACUGUUCACGUCAACAUCUAAGUUAUAAUUAUGACUGGGGAGCUUUCGUUUUCCUGAGACCUCAGAUAUAACUGAUAAUACAAAUGUGCCAAACAACAUGGACGCCUCACAUCAGCUCAAAAUCUGUCAAUCAAUGUAAUUAAAUACAAAUUUAAUGGAUUUAGUGUCGAUACAUCGUAUUUUUAAUCCUCAUGCAACCAAACAACUGUCUUGAAACAAACGAGAAGUGAUGCUCUUUAAUUAGGUGGUGUUUUUCAGUCGGUUAUGUAACUUUUCUGAAGUCAUACUCUGAAAACCAUGUCCACCGGCGGGGGAAAACUAUCAACGUCACAAUAUGCAGCCAGGGGCUGAAACGCUAACAAAAUGCCUGUAGCUAUCUAAACAUGUUAGAUGUCAGCAUGUCAAAGAGUUGUUGUAGCACUCUGUGUCUAUGGGGUGCAGUUGAUAACUAAAAUGAUGAUGGGAUUAGUCAGCUGUUAGCAAGCAACAGUUAACUAUGAGUUAGCAAGCUACUGUACUUAGUUAAAGAACUAGUGUUGGAGCCGCUAAGUACGACUUUGUGUAGAGAACCAUAUUAGAGUAUGUUUUUACUAGCCUCCAGGUUUAUCGAUCGACUUGCAGAGAUACAUUUUCUCAUCAUCUAUAGUAAUGUAUUUUAGAUCUUUAAGGGCGAGCUACACUUUAAAUUGCUGUAUGUGGCUUUAACAAUUAUAAAAGCGAGUUAAGUAUCUGCAAGUUGAUUUUUCUUUGGUAGUGAGAUCGUUGGAAAACACAUGAAAAUAAUACUAACCACUUUGUCAUGCUCUGAAAAGCAGAUUGUGGUCACAGGGGUAAAACAUGCAAAAAACACAUUAUUAUAUUAUUAUUGUUCUUUAGUUUCUCUCGCCUCUGAAGCGUCUUUAGACUCCUUACUACUUUCCCUCAUCAUCUGCAUUGGCCCCUCUCAAACUCACUUCCUGUCUUUUGUUACAAUGACCUCAAAAUGUGGAUGUGCUCUCCAUCAGUCCAAAGAUUAUCAAAUAUGCUCAGUUCCAUCCAGCGUACAGCAACUGGCCGUGUUGGAUAGAAAGGCCACGGAGCUCAAAGCCUCACCCAUAUUUGCUGGGGCGAGCUAGUAACAGUGUGGCCCUUUGUGGCCCCCUGUGUAUUUAUGAAUGGCUGAGCCUCGGGGCGAAGCUUUAGAACAAUGCUGCUACACUGAAGGACCGAUUUUCAUAUGGGAGGGGUGAUGGUGAUGAUGGUGGUGGCAGAGGAGGUGGUGGUGGGACGGGCAGUUUAUUCUCCACCGUUGGGGCUUGGUACAGAGAGUGGCGAGAGGUCUUGCUGGUAACGGGCUGGUGUGACGCUUUGCGUGUGAGUGUCAGAGGGAAGGCUGCUGGAACUGCUCAAACAGGAACUGCUGAACGCUUGGAGGUCGGCCACGGUCACCUACACAGAAUCUGACGUCUAGGAUUCAGAGCAAGAAGACCAACUCAGGGAGAACAAACACAGCGGGAAGACGAAGACUUCGGGACCGAGAGGGAGCAGGAGCCUGGUGCUGAGGCUGGUAUGAG